Molecule: long non-coding RNA, 670 nt
Filed under: Equus asinus (donkey)
Lineage: Eukaryota; Metazoa; Chordata; Mammalia; Perissodactyla; Equidae
Description: lncRNA (ENSEASG00005032686.1)
Source: RNAcentral
GCUGGCUCCGCCCAGGGCUUCCGCCCCGAGGCCCGUCGGUCGCCGUUCGGUUCCGGCUCUAGCCCCGCCCUCAGGCGGGAACCUGCAGAAGUCUUAAUAUCCGGGAGCAGGGGCUGGCGCCUGCGCGCACUUCCGGUGACGGAGGCGAGGUUUCUGCAGGCGUUUUCUCAAUUCUGUCAAAUCCUGACUAUGCCGCUGCAUUCAUUGACCUCAACACAGUGAAUAAAGCGCACAGCACACCCUUUAAAUAGAGGACCACUCUGGUGAAGCUUAAGGAAAGCAAAUUCACCAUGGAUUCUAUGACCGUUGCAUACCGCUGUGAUCGAGGACUUGAGCGUCCUAACCAAGGAAUGGAGACAACAUGAGAAGUGGAACGUGAAAACAAGGUCCAGAAGAUCACAUUAUCAAGGACAUAAUGAAUAGAGCCACUGCCCAAGCCACCUAAAAUGUAUCAGUCAAAGUAACCUGGGAGAAGUGAAAAAUUUGGCAGAUCAGAGAAACCUAGAUUCCCAGGUGGAUGUAUUUUAUCAAAUGAAGCUAGGCAAUCCUUGCUGUGUCUGAAUUCCAUCCUUCCAUAAUCUAUUUCUUAUUUCUUGUACCUUACAACAAGCCUGCCAUCACCAAUCAUAUUUAUAUAGGUUCUAGCAUGUACACUAAAUAAUUUUGUAUU